CAGCUGGUCACCGGCCAAACUCUGUAAUGAGGACGGGAACAGUAGGCUAAUAAUCUACCAGCAACAGGGAGGAUGCAUCUCACUGUGAAAUGCUUCAUCUUUUGGCAUCGAGUCCUUUUCUAAGCUAUAAUUGGUGUUUCCGUGAAGGCGGGGGCACAAGGAUUGGACCCAUUGGUCCACCGGAAUCAUGGAAAUUAUUGUUGGAGUAACUCUCAACGCGGUACGCGGCUACGGUUAGCGGAACAUGGGAAACUUGAAUCGGAAAGCUUAUCUGCGGAACGUUUGCUGGGAGCGUUUUCCCAGCGAACGCCCCCACAGCCUUUGGAAAAAAGUUUUUGAGGGGAAAAAAGUUGCCUUAUAAGGAAAGAACAGCCAUGUGCUCUGAUAAAAUUGCCAGACGAUGUACCUGCAAACUGCCAGCUGGGGCGUUCGGAAAUGCCAUGUCUGGCAGCGAACGUUCGCCCCCUAUUGAGGUCCUGAAUCGGUCAGUUGCUGUUACAAGCUUCUGGAGAGUUGCUACUGUUGUGAGAUUUAUAGAAUAAUUGUUUUGCAUUUCCCGAAUCACCAUUACGGUGCAUUUCUCUUUAUUAAAUGAGAAGUGCCAAUCUGGUUCCAGAAAUGUUUGUUCGGAGGAGUCCAUGAAGAAAACACUGAAAUUUAUUAGCCCCUUGACACACAAGAACUCUGGAUCCUGGAGAAAAGUUUACAGACUUCUGGCUCUCAUUUCGUACUCCCGAAAAUUCGAUGUUUUAUGGGUUACGCUUCUCACUGCAUCCAAGAGUUUCCAUUGACUUGAGCCGGUCACCUUUUCUAUACACCACUAGAAAGUUUGAUUAGCGACAAUGGACUGCUCAGCUGUGUGGUCAGUGGGAUCAACUCUGACUGUGACGUGUUUACACUGCAUUGGUGCUUCCGUGAAGGUAGGGGUACAAGGACUAGACCACAUUGGUCCGCCGGAAGCAAUCGGGUAGUAACUGUCACCCAAUAAAGAAGUGUGAAAAUCGUGGAAAGAACUAGGAGAGAUUUGUGGUUAUUUUGAAAUCAUCUUUAUUAGUUUCAUUCAGAUUUCAAUUUUUUUUAGAACA
Molecule: long non-coding RNA, 1085 nt
Organism: Hordeum vulgare subsp. vulgare (domesticated barley)
Lineage: Eukaryota; Viridiplantae; Streptophyta; Magnoliopsida; Poales; Poaceae
Exons: 2
Source: RefSeq, a predicted model, not a curated record